AGUGUGUGAAAACCUUGUGAAGACUUAGAGAAAACGUUUGACCUCUGUCAUUGUCAACAAAGGGUAUAUAACAAAGUAUUGAGAUGAACUUUUGUUAUUGACCGAAUACUUAUUUUCCACCAUAAUUUGCGGAUGGAUUCAU
This is a long non-coding RNA of Sander lucioperca (pikeperch), 142 nucleotides long. RefSeq lists it as uncharacterized. NCBI's taxonomy places the organism in Eukaryota, Metazoa, Chordata, Actinopteri, Perciformes, Percidae. The transcript is spliced from 3 exons. The record is from RefSeq and is a predicted model, not a curated record.